This 867-nucleotide ribosomal RNA is filed under the name Triticum aestivum (bread wheat). Its description in RNAcentral is "partial small subunit ribosomal RNA". The record is from RNAcentral. Lineage: Eukaryota; Viridiplantae; Streptophyta; Magnoliopsida; Poales; Poaceae.
AUGGACUCGCGCUUCUCCUCCGGCUCCGGGGACGUGAGGUCGGGGAGCUCGCUGACGGUGGGGGAGCGGCUCUGCGCCGCCUUCUUGCCAUUCGUUGCUGUCGCCGAGGCCGUCUUCUUCGUCCUCACCGACUGCCUCGCCGACAUCUGCCCUCCUUCGUCCUCCUCCUCGCGCCUGCGCAGAGAAUCCUCUGCUUCGUCCUUCCUCACGGCCAAGAAGAAGAGCCACCACCUGUUCCGCCGCCGCGUCGGGCCAGGCUGCAUCUCCCUCGACUUCCACAACCUUGCCCGCCUCGCCGAGGAGUCCCGUUGCUUUUCGGUGAACGAGGUGGAGGCGCUGUUCGAGCUCUACAAGAAGAUCAGCUGCUCCAUCAUCGACGACGGGCUCAUCCACAAGGAAGAACUGCAGCUAGCAUUAUUCAAGACUCCUAGCGGGCAGAAUCUUUUUAUUGACAGGGUUUUUGAUUUGUUUGAUGAAAAGAAGAAUGGAGUAAUAGAGUUUGAUGAGUUUAUUCAUACUCUCAGUGUCUUCCAUCCAUGCUCAGCUGUGGAGGAUAAGAUUAAUUUUGCAUUUAAGCUGUAUGAUUUGAGGCAAACCGGGUUUAUUGAGCGUGAAGAGGUUAUGCAAAUGGUUAUUGCCAUUUUGAAUGAAUCUGAUAUGAAAUUGUCUGAUGAGCUUCUUGAGGCCAUCAUAGAUAAGACGUUUGAAGACGCUGAUACAGAUAGGGAUGGGAAAAUCAGCCAAGAAGAAUGGAAGGAAUUUGUAUUGCGCCACCCUAAUCUAUUAAAGAACAUGACCCUACCUUAUCUAAGGGACAUCACAACAUCUUUUCCAAGUUUUGUCUUCAACACGGCAGUUGAAGACUAA